UAAUACGGAGGAUGCGAGCGUUAUCCGGAUUUAUUGGGUUUAAAGGGUGCGUAGGCGGAUUAAUAAGUCAGUGGUGAAAACCUGCAGCUUAACUGUGGAACUGCCGUUGAUACUGUUAGUCUUGAGUAUGGUCAAGGUAGGCGGAAUGUGUAAUGUAGCGGUGAAAUGCUUAGAUAUUACACAGAACACCGAUUGCGAAGGCAGCUUACUGGGCCGUUACUGACGCUGAUGCACGAAAGCGUGGGGAUCGAACAGG
This 256-nucleotide ribosomal RNA is filed under the name uncultured bacterium. Its description in RNAcentral is "partial 16S ribosomal RNA". It matches the Rfam family "Bacterial small subunit ribosomal RNA", at positions 521 to 776 of the family's 1533-position model. The record is from RNAcentral.